This is a long non-coding RNA of Sinocyclocheilus grahami, 388 nucleotides long. RefSeq lists it as uncharacterized. Lineage: Eukaryota; Metazoa; Chordata; Actinopteri; Cypriniformes; Cyprinidae. The transcript is spliced from 3 exons. The record is from RefSeq and is a predicted model, not a curated record.
GUCCAUCGGAAAGAAUGUAGCCUUCACAAUAAGCCACCUCAGGUUUCCUGUAUUGACUGUGAAGGAACCAUGGAACGAUGUUUACUUCUCAAACAAACGAAAGAGAUAAAAAAAAGAAUGGAGAAAUGUCCCCCGUCAAUGAAUAUUCAUCGUACUGGGUCAGCACAUGCAAUGUUCCAAAAAUCAGGAAAUGAACAGCAACAAAUUGGAUGUCUUGGAUGCAUCUGAGAUGUAAAAAGGAUCAAGGACAAUUGCAACUGGCCAUUUGAAAAAAAAAUUAAAAUCCUUCACACGUUACAUUUAAUAUAUAUACAGUAUAUAUUAAAUGUAACAUGUUUCUUUUCUUGCAGGCUUAACAUUUGUAUGCCUGUACAAAUAAAUGAAAUUU